UUUGAAGGUCCAGUUAAAACGACCCAAGGAUGCUAACCAUCCCUACUGAUGGCAGCGAGCAAGCAGGAGUCACUUCUGCAGCACAGGUGAAGGGAAAGUCCAGAGGAAGAAUUUCUGCUUCAGGUUGAUUUACAGAGGCCAGUAAAUUUAUCAACUCUUUUGACACCACCCCUUUCCUUCCUCUGCUCCCCACCUACCCACCCCAUCCUCCU
This 212-nucleotide long non-coding RNA is filed under the name Buteo japonicus. RNAcentral describes it as "lncRNA (ENSBJAG00000009544.1)". The record is from RNAcentral. Lineage: Eukaryota; Metazoa; Chordata; Aves; Accipitriformes; Accipitridae.